GUUUAGAUAGCUUAAUUAGAGCGUGAUAUUGAAGAUAUCAAUGUGGUUUUUAACCUCUAGACA
This 63-nucleotide transfer RNA is filed under the name Histeridae sp. BMNH 1274739. RNAcentral's name for it is "tRNA-Phe". The record is from RNAcentral. Lineage: Eukaryota; Metazoa; Arthropoda; Insecta; Coleoptera; Histeridae.